This is a long non-coding RNA of Lycium ferocissimum, 507 nucleotides long. RefSeq lists it as uncharacterized. The transcript has 2 exons. The record is from RefSeq and is a predicted model, not a curated record. NCBI's taxonomy places the organism in Eukaryota, Viridiplantae, Streptophyta, Magnoliopsida, Solanales, Solanaceae.
UUGUGAAAUGGAGGGAUUCCCCCCCCCCCCCCCCCAAAACCAUUAAUCCCACAUCGGUUGAGGUUUUGAACCCUAGAAUUUGGGGGUUCUAUAUAAAGAACCCCAAUUUCUAUCAUCACACACAAAGAAAAUACUUGCAAGUUUGGCAAAAACCCAUUUCUAGGUUUUAUACUGAAUUUGUGAGCAUAUUUGCAGUUUUGGUUUGCCCGAAACCCUCUCUAGUCUAAAAUUGGUCUUAUUUUUUCUAAAACCUUUGGAUUUCUUUGUGGUUUGUGUGGCUGUGAGGUGUGGGAGAAGGAAGAGCUUUCAAACUCCAUUCUCGAUAAGGCUGCCACUACAAAAGAAGUACUUGUCCGAGGGAGUCACAAGGUGUCCAUUUCACCUAUCUUCCUUUGAUUACAGAAGCAAACUACUGGAAAAGAACCUUCAGUUUCAGAUUUUUAUUUUCGCACUCAUCGCAAGGAAAAAUAUAAAAGUUGGGUAAAUGAGAAAGCUAAAGCUGCUUUU